Exaiptasia diaphana is the source of this 591-nucleotide long non-coding RNA. RefSeq lists it as uncharacterized. The transcript has 2 exons. NCBI's taxonomy places the organism in Eukaryota, Metazoa, Cnidaria, Anthozoa, Actiniaria, Aiptasiidae. The record is from RefSeq and is a predicted model, not a curated record.
UUGUUUUUACUUCAGGAACAAAUAAGACAACAAGCAAAGGAAAAGCGUCAAAACUCCACUCUCUCCAAGAACAGUAAAGUAAAAAGUGCAGUGUGYAGUACGAUGUGACCUUGGCGCAAAUAWUCAAUCAGGAAUCCUUUAUAAAGGGUGGAAUUGGCAGUGGAAAUAAAUAUAUCAUAUUACAUUGAAAAUCAUUAUAUUAUUAUUGAAUUGAACUAUUUUAUUACUGAUCCUUGUAUCAAGACCGCUGRCAGGUGUCCCUACAGGGAUCUCUAUGUAAAUAAUAACAUAUUUUUUAAAUAUUACAUUAGCAACUCAAAAGUUAAAUUUGCASUCUUAUUAUCUACACUCUAUCUGCAAUGAUAGAAAGCUUUGUUCACACUCAUCAACUCUCAACUGUCGUCUCACCUCGAUGCAAUGGCAUGGCCACCUUUCAAGAUGACGCCGGGGACCGUGAAGGAGACUAUUAUAAUUAUCAAAUAUAACUGUAAAUAUAAAUGUCGUCAAUUUGUCCAAGACAAGAUUUAAUAUCAUAGCGUUAGAUUUAAUCUUAUGCCUGAAUAUAUCUAAUAAAGAUGAAUAGUUACUGCA